Molecule: ribosomal RNA, 505 nt
Filed under: uncultured bacterium
Lineage: Bacteria
Description: partial 16S ribosomal RNA
Rfam family: Bacterial small subunit ribosomal RNA
Source: RNAcentral
GACGAACGCUGGCGGCGUGCCUAAUACAUGCAAGUAGAACGCACAGUUUAUACCGUAGCUUGCUACACCAUAGACUGUGAGUUGCGAACGGGUGAGUAACGCGUAGGUAACCUGCCUGGUAGCGGGGGAUAACUAUUGGAAACGAUAGCUAAUACCGCAUAAUAUUGAUUAUUGCAUGAUAAUUGAUUGAAAGAUGCUAUUGCAUCACUACCAGAUGGACCUGCGUUGUAUUAGCUAGUAGGUGAGGUAACGGCUCACCUAGGCGACGAUACAUAGCCGACCGGGGAGGGUGGUCGGCCAGACUGGGACGGUGACACGGCCCAGACUCCUACGGGAGGCAGCAGUAGGGAAUCGUCGGCAAUGGACGAAAGUCUGACCGAGCAACGCCGCGUGAGUGAAGAAGGUUUUCGGAUCGUAAAGCUCUGUUGUAAGAGAAGAACGGGUGUGAGAGUGGAAAGUUCACACUGUGACGGUAUCUUACCAGAAAGGGACGGCUAACUACGUG